ACCCAACCAAUCCUAAUUGUUUGUGUGAUAAACUACUGAAAAUGAGGGACAAACCAGCCAUCUAGCAAGCCUUGACCCUUCACCUAUUUUGGUUCCACCAAGUUACCAAAAAGCAGACAAAAUGCCCUUUUAGUGAAAAUUUCCGGAGUUUUUAUGUUUCCUUGUUCUAUUCCAUUCCCAAGUAAAUUGUUAUCAUUUAUACAUUAUUAACCCAUGAUUCUCAUCCAUCCUUCAUGUAGAAAAACUAAAUAGCCCAUAUUGGACAGCAAGCAUGCUAUUAGUCAUGAUUGUGAGUUUCCUUAGAUUUGCUUGAAACGAGGAGUUUGGAUGUUUUGACUUAGUGCUAGGUAUGGAAGGAAGAUAGAUGGGUUGGUUUGUGUUUGGUAGUGACUUUCUCUAAGUGAAGAGGGAGUGAAGGAAAAUAUGAAGUGGGUAUUGAUAUGUUCGUUUCAAUUUCAUUGAAUAGGACUUAUUGAGGUGCAAAGAGGGACUAAGGAAAUGACGAAGAUGAGACUGUGGAGCAAGACAUUGCUGGGGAGGGGGGAGCCAGAUGCCUAGAGUAGCCUGGGGAUGGGUCUCUUUUAUCUAAUGUUAGAUUAUUUGGUUGGUUGGUUUG
Molecule: long non-coding RNA, 616 nt
Organism: Juglans microcarpa x Juglans regia
Lineage: Eukaryota; Viridiplantae; Streptophyta; Magnoliopsida; Fagales; Juglandaceae
Exons: 2
Source: RefSeq, a predicted model, not a curated record